CGAAUUUGGUAAAGCCGAAAAAAAAAAAAAAAGAAGAAGAAGAAAAUCCGGAAUGUUGGACCUGGAGUAUCUGCCAUACGAUGUGUUGCCGGAUAUCCUGCAUGGACUGCCCGUGAAAUCCCUAAUCCGAUUCAGGUGCGUUUCCAAAUCAUGGAAUUCUCUAAUCACAAGUCCUGCCUUCAUCAAUUCCAAUCUCACUCGAUCGCCCUCCGAUUCCAACAAAUUAAUUGUUAGGUAUUUGGAUGUCAUAUGCCAAGUAGAGCGCUACAAAUUAAUUUACGAAGACAAUGACAAUGAUGACUCCUCCUCAUCUGAACAAAUUCAAGAUCUUGAGUUCCCACUAAGGUGUAGUAGUCGGGACUAUUUUCAAUUAGUCGGUUCCGCGAAUGGAUUGUUUUGCCUUCAUGAAGGAAACCGCGUUAUUCUUUGGAAUCCUUGUAUUAGAAAAUUUAUUACCCUUCCCAACCCUUCUUUUAUUGACGUCUUUCAUUGUUAUCUAGCAAUUGGGUUUGAUUUGAGGACCGAUGAUUAUAAGGUGGUGAGAAUUGCCUAUCAAAGUGUAAAUGUUAGGUGCGAAGGUGCCAAACCACCUCUGGUUGAGGUUUACUCUGUUAGCGAGGGAUCUUGGAGAGUAACUAAUGGUGGUGACUCAUAUCCGCCUAGGAUUACUAUUAGUAAUUGGCACCCACAAGCAGCUUAUUUAAAUGGAGCUGUUUAUUUUGCGGCGAAUGAUUGGGGCGAUGCCCAGAGUUUAAUAGUUUUGUCAUUUGAUUUGGGUGAUGAGGUUUUCCGCUUGAUAUCCUUGCCAAAUGGUAAAUUUGGAUUGGAUGCUGAUAUUGGUACCUCAGUAUUCAAUGGAUUGCUUUCUCUAAUAUGUUAUGGGUAUCAGCAUCUGAGCAUCGUCAAGAGUUGUUCUGUUUGGGUUAUGAAAGAGGAUGGUGUUGUGGAUUCUUGGACUAAACAGUUCACUAUUGAACUCAAUAUGCUACGUUGGAAAGUGUUAGGUUUCUUGAAGAAUGAUCAUGUAUUAGUGCAGAAAAUAAAAUCACAUGGUUCGAAGCUCUUGUCAUAUGACCCUGAGAGCCAACAAGUGAAGAAUUUAGGGUUUUAUAGAAGCACAUAUUAUUCUUAUGCUGAUAAUUAUGCGAGGAAUCUUACCUUACUCGACAAACCAAAUGAUGUAGUUUCCAAGAGGAAAGUGAGCAAGAAGAGGAAGUGCAGGUAAUGUAGCAAAAUUUUAUCAAUUUAGAGGGAAAAAAAAAAGAUCCAGUGUACACAGGUAGCAUACGAGAGAGAGUCUUCAGUCUAACAAAAAUAACACAAGUCCACAAACUCCUUGAAAGAGAAAAAAGACAGCCUGUUCAAAGCAGCCAUCCAAUCAUACAACAAUCACAGCAAAAACAGUUUCAACUACAAUGAUAUAACAACAAUACAUAGAAGGACUGAAGGAUGCAAUCGCGUAAUGUGGCAGUAGUUUUUUCUUUUUGCCUAGAAUUUUUUUUUUUUUUUUUUUGGGCCUAUGGCUCUUUGUCAAGCCUUCUUUGUUUGGAAAGGAUCAUUUUAAAUUUUAGACAAAAAUGUAAAGUACACUUUCUAUUUAGAAUAAUUAUUUUUUUUUU
Molecule: RNA transcript, 1619 nt
Organism: Quercus robur (English oak)
Lineage: Eukaryota; Viridiplantae; Streptophyta; Magnoliopsida; Fagales; Fagaceae
Gene name: F-box/kelch-repeat protein At3g23880-like
Exons: 4
Source: RefSeq, a predicted model, not a curated record